GGUACGUGAUAAUUUGGCAAAAGGGCUACCAAAGCACAGAUAACGUCGAGGGUUCAGCGACAUCAAAACUAAAAGGAGUUGCUUACACAAAUAUAUCCAAUUCUUCAGAUCUCAGGACACCAUUUCCAGAGAGAUACAACAGAGUGUGGGACGUCUCAGAUUACGUCAUACCUGCACAGCAAACAAACGGGUUUUUCGUCAUGACAAAUAUGGUUUUAUCGCCAAUGCAAUCAAGGGGGUCAUGUCCAGAGGAUCCCGAUAUUGAUAGGGAAUCAUGCACGUCUGAUGAUGAAUGUAGACCAGACGAGGGCAUUAUAACAGGAAAUGGUAAGUUAUAUUUUCUUUUUCAAUAACUUUCCGCGUAGCGAUUGAGCUGGUUUCUCCUCCUGCAUUCAUACUAUCGUAUCACAUUGCUCAUGAUGAAUAAAUAAUAGACGCUGAUAGAUAGUAAGGGAUAUUGAACGGACGGAUAUGAAAAGUCGGGGAAUGAAAUAACAAAGGUUAUGAAUGAGCGCGAGAUAGUGACGAAGAAGAGAUCGCACGAGGAAUACCAGAUUUGAUUAAUUCCGCAUUUAGAAACAUAUUAAACAAAUUGCAAAGUUAAAUCAAUAUACUCGUAGCGGAAAUACCAAGGAACAAAAUUAGCCUCAAGAAGAUAAAAAGCAUAGGAUAAAAAAAUGAAAUAAAGAAAUAAGAAUGAAGCAAACUUUUCUUCAAGAAGUGGGAUGAGGGGUAUUUGUUCCUAAUAUUUUCUUGGGAAAAAGAGUGAAAUAUAAAAAAAUCGAAUUAAAUUACAUCGAGGUUGAAAGAAUUCCAAAAUAAACAUAAUGAUAGAACAAUUUUCGUGCCAAAAGAAAUGAGAUCUACCGAGGUAUAUUUAUCAUUAAAUUGUAUCAUAUACGGUGAAUAGAUUUAAUAAUUUAAUUCGGUUUUCAUUCCAAAAAAUAAUAUACAAACAAACGCAAUAUAAAUAGAUUGAUAUAUAUGACAUGGCAUGAUACGUAGUUUAUCCAAGUAAAGUGUAUAACGAUGCACAAAACCAAACAUUUGCAUGGGGUAUACCAGAAAGCUAAACCUAUAUAAUGUGAUUAUCCACUAAUAUUUUCGAUAUAUUGAUUUUAAUGUAAUCACGGUGAAAUAUAGAAACAAGAACACAAAAAAACCAUACCAGUUCUUUUAAACAUAUUAUAUUGUAUAGUUCUGUUUACUCAAUAUCGAGUCAUUUUACGCAACAUUUUUUGAGUCAUGUAUAUUAUUUGACCAGCAAGACCUCUUUUUCACCAUAUUUAUCUAUCUUCCUCACUUCCUGUCGACGAUUAGGUUAAAGGGAUUGUGCGUAUAGUCACAUGACCAAGUCAUCUAGAUCACCAUUUUAGUCCUAAGGCCUCGUUGUUGUUUUUUCUCUUUUACCCCCUUUGAACUUAAAAAAAAUGGUUCAGUAUCGGUCAGUAUUCUGAAAUCAACUGUAGUCUUAAGUCUUAGGUUUAACCAUGGUUAGCGAAUUACGCACGAAGACAUGAACAAAAUAUUGACGUUUUGGGCUUUCAAUAGUUUUAGCAAGCCCACGUUAAACUGGCCUCAACAUAUACGGGCCGUGGGGAUUUCAUAUCUUCAUUAGAUUUGUUCAUCCGAUUUCAUGCUGAAUCCAUAUUUGAUCAUGUUAAACUGAAAUAAACUACUCCGAUAUAGCUGUGGUGUCUAAAUUACACCAUCGGUGUACAUGCAAGGGCGUGGCAAGUAAUACACCCAAACAUUUAAUAUUUAUGAUGUUAGUUCAGCACAAAUGGUGUUGAUAUAUCACCUUUGGCUAUUUAAGCGACCUUUGGAUUUGUGUUCAAAUUCAAAUUUGUUCAGUCAACAUAUGAGGUCGUGUUUUUUUUGCUAUUACACACUGGUGUACUUCGUUAUUUAAUAAAGAGUUCCUGACCCAAGAUAUCGCCAUGUCGGAUGCGGCCCGUGUCACAUUGCGCCCCCCCUUCCUUUCCCACCCGCCGUACUGAAACUCAACCGGCAGAAAUCAACUAUUUUUGCUACAUCCUUGGCAACAGCUAGGGCAAAAAGGCUUCAUUACAGGGGAGGGCAAGGAGGACAUGUGCCCCCCCCCCACCUUGACCAGACAAUUUGUGACCAGUUUCGUAACCAUAUGUUUGACACGUUUAUUUAACAAUUGGAUACAGACGGCGUGAAAAUUGCUCGGAGUAGACGAAUUUAAGACUCGGCAAAACCAUCAUCGAGCGAGGUAAAUCAUGAAUAAAUUCACCUAUAUUUUAACAACUGGACUCUUCACGAAGUGUAUUGUCAGCGAUUUUCACCGACAGAUGUUAAAAGCUACCGAAAAUCCUUCCAUCUGAUUGGCUGAUAGCAAAUUAGUCGGUGAAAAUCUCUUAAAGUACUCUUCUUCAUGAAAUGCUGCUCUGGUCUUAAUAUGAAUUGUUAUAUAUAGAGAGAGAAAAGUGAUACCGUUUUUCUUUCAAGCCUUUAAAUGUAUUCAUUCCAGGUGCUAAGUUUGAAAAGAAAGGGCCUGAAAUAGCACCUGUUGGUCGGUGCGGAGUAAAAUCAAUGAAAGCUGUGUGUUUAAACGCCUGAAGUAAGAGCUAAUCGAACAAACGGAGUCUAUUAUGUAUAUCCUUACAUUGGGCACGCUGCGAGAGUAAUAUUUUUGCAAAUUAUUACAGAUUUGUUCGAGGCAGCGCAAGAUGUACGUGACGUAUUUAGUUGUCCUUGGUUGCUUAGAAAGUAUCAUGUUAAAUAUAUCGUUAUUUAGGCUUUUGACCCCCUCCCCAAAAAAGAACAGGGCCCCGUUGUACAAAGAGUUACGAUUGAUCAGAUCAAUCGCAACUAUGGAAAGCCAGCAAAGUCAACAUAUGAAAUGCAUGUUUGUUC
Lytechinus pictus (painted urchin) is the source of this 2883-nucleotide long non-coding RNA. RefSeq lists it as uncharacterized. The record is from RefSeq and is a predicted model, not a curated record. The transcript has 3 exons. Lineage: Eukaryota; Metazoa; Echinodermata; Echinoidea; Temnopleuroida; Toxopneustidae.